This is a non-coding RNA of Danio rerio (zebrafish), 1513 nucleotides long. The record is from RefSeq and is a predicted model, not a curated record. NCBI's taxonomy places the organism in Eukaryota, Metazoa, Chordata, Actinopteri, Cypriniformes, Danionidae.
ACACAAUUAUGUCGUUUCAUCAUCGCAGCAGAGCAGACUGUGUUUGUUUGAUGCAGUAUGUUUCUUUUUGAUGUAAUGUAUUUUACUUUAGGAUGAGCUACUGGGGUUGUGCCUUAAUUAAUUUAUUUUAUUUAUUUUUUAUAAUCCUAGCAGUUUUGUGAUCAUGACGUGUUGGCUACGCAAUACAGGAUAAGCUUGCAGGUAGAUUUGAUAACUUGAGUAAAUAGGACAAAUAAAACUAAGGCGUAAUGAUUAAUUGAUUUUCUUUUGCAACCUCUCCGAAGCAGUCAGUCAAAUCGUGCUUCUGUCGUGCAGCAACUUUAAAGGGAAUUUUAAAGAGCUUAUUUUCCCUGGGAAAACGCUAUUGUUCGUCCUGAAACAAUAGAAGCUGCAGGCAACCGCAGUGAGGCGGUAUGAAUGGCGAAGCUGUGGGUCAGUGCAUUGGGUCUCAGGCCCCAAAGCCCCCUUUCCCGUGCACCACAAUGACCCUGCGCGAGAACGAGGCUCCGCGGGGUCAGAGGGCAUCACCUAUUGUUCUGCACUUCAAAACAUAUAAACAUUAAUUAAUCAAGGCUGGCCAUGUUUCUCAGGGAAAAAGAAAAAGUAGGGUAUGUUGUACCUACGAGUGCUAUAGGCCAGAAGGACUUCUGAUGUUGUAAAUGAAUGUGUUAGAAAUCAACGGCGUCAGUGAUUACGUUCUAUCUUUUCCUGGAUGAAAGGACAUCAAACAUUCGCUCUGAACCAAGGUUAAGCAGCAGAAAAGUCCUGCUGAUUAGCAGUGCAGGUUCACUGGUGUAAAUGAGGAAUCUCUGAUCCUGCUUGAGUCUAUAAUCUGCUUGCAUGUUUACUGGCUAAAAGCAGGCGUGAUGCUGCCGUGACCCAGGCUGAUCCAGAUCCUCGGAGCAUCUUUUCCUAUCUUUCCUUCCCUUUUUCUGUGCGGCAACACAGCCUGUUAUUUCAAGGAAAGUGCAACCUUUGCCUUGGGCUUUAAUUAUGUUCAAUUUGCCAAGCCGAGCCUGAAAAAUUGAGAGGGUGAAAAAGCUCUAUGACCUAUUUAUUAAUGCUGCGUUGAGUCUGAAGCUGCACUGAGAUCAGCACUGCAUCACUCAACAAUAACAGGCGUCUCUGGAGAACACGCUCUUCUCCACUGCAGGAAUUCACUGCUCUAUUAUACACCGCCGGACACUUCAUUGACUUGAGCAGCACUGAAGUAAAUGACAUUAGUUUUGUAGCUGAGUGUGAGCGGGAUCUGCUGUGUGUUUUUGGAAAUGGAUGUUAAAAGGACAGAAGUAUGUCUAAUCAAAUAAAACCUAAUUAUGUAUAUUAUAUAGACGGGAUGUAGCCUAUUUAUAAUUAGAUAUGUGUGUAUUAAAUAGAGUUUAUAUUAUUUUUAGAUAGUCAUAUCACCGUAUUUAAGUUUUUUUUUUAUCUUAUGAUGUGAAUUAGUUUAUUGUGUUUUGUUUUUGUUUCUUGUACAAUUUCAGUGAGUCUACAAUAAAAAUCUCCCCUCCUC